UCCCCGUAGUGCAAAGGGCGCUUGAGCGAGGUGAUCGGAGCAGUCGCAGCAAGGACCAUGUUGCUUCCGAACAUCCUGCUCACUGGUACACCAGGGGUUGGAAAAACCACACUAGGCAAAGAACUUGCAUCAAAAUCAGGACUGAAAUACAUUAAUGUGGGUGAUUUAGCUCGAGAAGUCUGAUCAUCGGAUAGCAUGGGGUCUGGCAAGAUGGCUUCUCCCAAGAGCAUGCUGAAAGAUGCACAGAUGACAAAUCCUGAAAGAUAUGGGGAUUACAGAAUAUGAGCCAAGAGUUAUAAAUCAGAUGUUGGAGUUUGCCUUCCGAUAUGUGACCACAAUUCUAGAUGAUGCAAAAAUUUAUUCAAGCCAUGCUAAGAAAGCUACCGUUGAUGCAGAUGGUGUGCGAUUGGCAAUCCAGUGCCGUGCUGACCAGUCUUUUACCUUUACUCCCCCAAGAGAUUUUUUAUUAGAUAUCGCAAGGCAAAGAAAUCAAACGCCUUUGCCAUUAAUCAAGCCAUAUUCAGGUCCUAGGUUGCCACCUGAUAGGUAUUGCUUAACAGCUCCAAACUAUAGGCUGAAAUCUUUAGAGAAAAAGGCAUCAACUUCUGCAGGAAGAAUAACAGUCCUGUGGUUAAGUGUUGGUUCGGUUACUAGCAGACCAAGUACUCCCACACUAGGCACACCAACCCCACAGACCAUGUCUGUUUUAACUAAAGUGGGGACUCCCAUGUCCCUCACAGGACAAAGGUUUACAGUGCAGAUGCCUACAUUGCAGUCUCCAGCCAUAAAAGCUUCAAUUCCUGCAACUUCAGCAGUUCAGAAUGUUCUCAUUAAUCCAUCAUUAAUUGGGUCCAAAAACAUUCUUAUUAUCACUAAUAUGGUGUCAUCACAAAAUACUGCCAAUGAAUCAUCAAAUGCAUUGAAAAGAAAACAUGAAGAUGAUGAUGAUGAUGAUGAUGACGACGACUAUGAUAAUUUGUAAUCUAGUCUUGCUGCAUGUAACAUGUGUAUUUGGUCUUGAAUUUAUUGUACUGAUAUUAAACAAGCAUGCUGGAUGUUUUCAAGUUGUGUUUUAGAAAACUUUAAUAAUAUUUAAUGAGUAAAUACAGUUACCAUACUUUUCAAUUUAAAUGAAGGUUCAGCCUUAAAAGUGUAAGAAAAAUAAAGUUGUCAUUCAU
Molecule: non-coding RNA, 1178 nt
Organism: Callithrix jacchus (white-tufted-ear marmoset)
Lineage: Eukaryota; Metazoa; Chordata; Mammalia; Primates; Cebidae
Source: RefSeq, a predicted model, not a curated record